RNAcentral lists this ribosomal RNA (437 nucleotides) under uncultured bacterium. Its description in RNAcentral is "bacterial SSU rRNA". It matches the Rfam family "Bacterial small subunit ribosomal RNA", at positions 70 to 518 of the family's 1533-position model. The record is from RNAcentral.
GUUUCGGAUGGAAGUUUAGAACUUAGGUGGCGGACGGGUGAGUAACGCGUGGGUAACCUGCCUCAUACAGGGGGAUAACAGUUAGAAAUGACUGCUAACACCGCAUAAUAUAGCGAAACCGCAUGAUUUUUGCUAUCAAAUAUUUAUAGGUAUGAGAUGGGCCCGCGUCUGAUUAGCUAGUUGGUGGGGUAAAAGCCUACCAAGGCGACGAUCAGUAGCCGGCUUGAGAGAGUGACCGGCCACAUUGGGACUGAGACACGGCCCAAACUCCUACGGGAGGCAGCAGUGGGGAAUAUUGGACAAUGGGGGAAACCCGUGAUCCAGCGACGCCCGCGUGAGUGAAGAAGUAAUUUCGGUAUGUAAAGCUACUAUCAGCAGGGAAGAUAAUGACAGUACCUGACUAAGAAGCCCCGGCCUAACUACGUGCCAGCAGCAGC